RNAcentral lists this transfer RNA (73 nucleotides) under Anaerolineaceae bacterium. RNAcentral's name for it is "tRNA-Glu". It matches the Rfam family "tRNA". From Rfam's summary of the family: Transfer RNA (tRNA) molecules are approximately 80 nucleotides in length. Their secondary structure includes four short double-helical elements and three loops (D, anti-codon, and T loops). The record is from RNAcentral. Lineage: Bacteria; Bacillati; Chloroflexota; Anaerolineae; Anaerolineales; Anaerolineaceae.
GCCCCCAUCGUCUAGCGGUCUAGGACAUAGCCCUCUCAAGGCUAAAACAGGGGUUCGAUUCCCCUUGGGGGUA